CACAGCCCUGAGUGAGAAGCAGCGAUCUGCCAUUAUUGUUUUCUUGUUCUGGCUACUGGAGGUACAAUGUCAGCGCCAAACAACCAUUAAAAGUGUCAUGUGUUGGGAUGCACCAACGAACAUAGGAGUCUAUAUAGACCACUGAGGACACAGUGGUUACAUUUAAUUUUCGAAGGAAAUAUCCUGGAAAAAAAAAACGGGAAAGUCCUAUAUGUUUAUGCUAACAUUUUAUGCCUGACUGCCUCACAAACAAGGGUCAGUUCAACGCUGGAGCUGUUUUCACUAAUUCUGCCUUUACGUGCUACCAGUAUGAUCGUAAAUAGGAAUGUGGUAGUUAAAAAUUUCAUUUGGAAGCAAUGUGAGCCAAGCGCUGCAUGGACACUGGAGAGGCAUUAUAAGAUUAAACUAUGGCCGAUUCCCAUAAUCCCUUCCUAAUUUGAUGCAUUACUAUCUACCAGACGGACAGGAAGAACAAGACAUGCCACCAAGGAGAAGUAAAGGGCUAUUAGGUGUUUGGCAAUGAGGGGUUAGAUCAUGAAGCCUUGUGGCUUUUUUUAUGCAUUUAUGAAUACUGAUUUCUGCAUUCUCAUGCUCUUUAUGGAAAGUACCACCCACAAUGGCUCUUCAGGAAUGAAGUUGUGAAAUAUUAUAACCUUGAAUGCAAAACUUAAUGAGGAAUUGCUCAUUCUACAGUGUUUUCAUAUGCAUGCAAAUGAAUCAGUUUUUAUAUAGUUAGCCUUUUAAUUUCAUUGGAAAGUCAAGGGAAACAUGGCAUGAUGCAGACUGGAUGCAAACCAGCAAUCCUGGUUACUGAGGGAGAGGACCCAAAUGCAGAAUGAGCAAGGGAAGAAGUUUGACAAAUUAGGCACAACAGGAGGGAGUGGUGUGAACAGUCCAGACAGUAGGGUAGGGCACACAACUGUAGAGCAGGCAGGUGGGGGGGGUGAUUGCCGAGAAGGGUCCUGGGUAACAACCGAGUGGAGGACUGUAAAGGAGGCAGCACUAGAUAUCAGACCACAGCACCAGGAACCAAGGGUACUUGGCUAUGAAGGUGAAGCUGCACACGUCCGACCUCCAGGCAGGAAGACCCAGUGGCCAGGGAGAAAGCAGGAGGCAGGACAGGAAUAGACAGAGAACUCACAAAACCCCAGACAUGACUCAAGACAAAAACGACAACAAGAGAAUAAAAAAUAAUGAUAGUAAUAAUAAUAAUAAUAAUAAUAAUAAUAAUAAUAAUAAUAAUAAUAAACAAGAGCAAAAAGGCAGACAGCAAUACUAUGACCUAGAAACAAUAAAAAGGGGAGCUAGAAAAAUAACCAAACCUGACAACCCAAGGUAAAAUAAAAAAGGAAAUAAAAAAUUAGUUCUAGAAUUAACUAGAAAGACUAAUCAAGGAAAUUUUACAACUCAGAGGGAAAAAAUAAAUAAAUAAAUACUUGAAAGAAACAGGUCAAACUCAAGAGAAACCAAAAAUGAGAUCCA
Molecule: long non-coding RNA, 1482 nt
Organism: Cyprinus carpio carpio
Lineage: Eukaryota; Metazoa; Chordata; Actinopteri; Cypriniformes; Cyprinidae
Source: Ensembl